Molecule: ribosomal RNA, 449 nt
Filed under: uncultured bacterium
Lineage: Bacteria
Description: bacterial SSU rRNA
Rfam family: Bacterial small subunit ribosomal RNA
Source: RNAcentral
UGGGGAAUUUUGGACAAUGGGGGCAACCCUGAUCCAGCCAUGCCGCGUGCGGGAAGAAGGCCUUCGGGUUGUAAACCGCUUUUGUCUGGGAAGAAAAGGCACCCCAGAACACGGGAUGUACUUGACGGUACUGGAAGAAUAAGCACCGGCUAACUACGUGCCAGCAGCCGCGGUAAUACGUAGGGUGCGAGCGUUAAUCGGAAUUACUGGGCGUAAAGCGUGCGCAGGCGGUUCGUUGUGUCUGCUGUGAAAGCCCCGGGCUCAACCUGGGAAUGGCAGUGGAAACUGGCGAGCUGGAGUGUGGCAGAGGGGGGUGGAAUUCCACGUGUAGCAGUGAAAUGCGUAGAGAUGUGGAGGAACACCGAUGGCGAAGGCAGCCCCCUGGGCUGACACUGACGCUCAGGCACGAAAGCGUGGGGAGCAAACAGGAUUAGAUACCCCUGUAGUCC